This 425-nucleotide ribosomal RNA is filed under the name uncultured bacterium. Its description in RNAcentral is "partial 16S ribosomal RNA". It matches the Rfam family "Bacterial small subunit ribosomal RNA", at positions 354 to 796 of the family's 1533-position model. The record is from RNAcentral.
GUGGGGAAUCUUAGACAAUGGGCGCAAGCCUGAUCUAGCCAUGCCGCGUGAGCGAUGAAGGCCUUAGGGUUGUAAAGCUCUUUCAGGGGGGAAGAUAAUGACGGUACCCCCAGAAGAAGCCCCGGCUAACUCCGUGCCAGCAGCCGCGGUAAUACGGAGGGGGCUAGCGUUGCUCGGAUUUACUGGGCGUAACGGGCGCGUAGGCGGACAUUUAAGUCAGGGGUGAAAUCCCGGGGCUCAACCUCGGAACUGCCUUUGAUACUGGGUGUCUUGAGGAUGAGAGAGGUGUGUGGAACUCCGAGUGUAGAGGUGAAAUUCGUAGAUAUUCGGAAGAACACCAGUGGCGAAGGCGGCUUCCUGGCACAAUACUGACGCUCAUGUGCGAAAGCUAGGGCAGCGAACGGGAUUAGAAACCCGGGUAGUCC